Molecule: ribosomal RNA, 381 nt
Filed under: uncultured bacterium
Lineage: Bacteria
Description: bacterial SSU rRNA
Rfam family: Bacterial small subunit ribosomal RNA
Source: RNAcentral
GACGAACGCUGGCGGCGUGCUUAACACAUGCAAGUCGAGCGGGAUCCAACCGGUGGCAACACCGGGGAAGAUCUAGCGGCGAACGGGUGAGUAACACGUGAGCAACCUGCCCCGAAGACUGGGAUAACACCGGGAAACCGGUGCUAAUACCGGAUGUCGUCAUUAGGCCGCAUGACCUGAUGAUGAAAGGAUUCAUCGCUUCGGGAGGGGCUCGCGGGCUAUCAGCUUGNGGGUGGGGUAACGGCCUACCAAGGCGACGACGGCUAGCUGGUCUGAGAGGACGACCAGCCACACUGGGACUGAGACACGGCCCAGACUCCUACGGGAGGCAGCAGUGGGGAAUCUUGCGCAAUGGGCGAAAGCCUGACGCAGCAACGCCGC